Cinara cedri is the source of this 201-nucleotide non-coding RNA. Lineage: Eukaryota; Metazoa; Arthropoda; Insecta; Hemiptera; Aphididae. The record is from the annotation of a GenBank genome assembly.
CGAACUCCGCUCAGAAUCGUUUUUGUUAGCAAUGGUUAAUCGUUGGGUACAGUUAUACCUACAUUCAAUCUCUCAUCUACCUUCCCAACUUCUCACCUACAACAGUGUCCCACCAAUCGUGCGGAGCAUGUUAGUCUUUUUUUCUUACGGUGUUUCUUUUGUUGAUACCUAGCCCGGCGGUGUUCGAUUGUCUCCGGUAAA